UCGCUUUGAAAUAGUGAGCCAUAGACAGUGGGAGCCGGAGUAGCAAUACCGAGGCCUAACAGAUGCCUGCAUCAUCCCGCCGAGGUUGUGAUCGUGAAUUGUUAAAUCAGUUUGCGUCAGUUAAUAAAAUUACCAUUGGUAACUUUUGAAACAGUUAAUCACCCUUUGAGUGUCUAUGUGCAUGCAAAGGGUUUUUUAUUUUUGUUA
Molecule: regulatory RNA element, 207 nt
Rfam family: Ribosomal protein L10 leader
About the family: This family is a putative r-protein leader autoregulatory structure found in B. subtilis and other low-GC Gram-positive bacteria. It is located in the 5' untranslated regions of mRNAs encoding ribosomal proteins L10 and L12 (rplJ-rplL).
Source: Rfam